GAUGAACGCUGGCGGCGUGCCUAAUACAUGCAAGUCGAGCGAACAGGUGAGGCGCUUGCUCCUCUGUCGUUAGGGGCGGAGGGGAGAGUAACGUGUGGAUAACCUACCUAUCAGACGGGGAUAAUUUGGAAAAACGGGAGAAUAUCCCGGAUAAUCUAUUGAUGCGUGGGGUGCAAUGGUAAAAGACGGUUGUGGUGUCUCUACUCGCGGGUUACGCGCUGCGUUAUGUAGUUGUUGCGUAAACGGCUUACCAAGGCAACGCUGCGUGGCCAACCUGCGGGGGUGAUCGGCCACCCUGGCACUGAGAAAGGGUCCAGACUCCUACGGGCAGCAGCAGUAGGGAAUCUUGCGCCAGGGGCGAAAGCCUGACGGAGCAACGCCGCGUGAGUGAUGAAGGUCUUCGGAUCGUAAAACUCUGUUAUUAGGGAAGAACAAAUGUGUAAGUAACUAUGCACGUCUUGACGGUACCUAAUCAGAAAGCCACGGCUAACUACGUG
This 497-nucleotide ribosomal RNA is filed under the name uncultured bacterium. RNAcentral's name for it is "partial 16S ribosomal RNA". It matches the Rfam family "Bacterial small subunit ribosomal RNA", at positions 28 to 507 of the family's 1533-position model. The record is from RNAcentral.